RNAcentral lists this transfer RNA (74 nucleotides) under Promethearchaeota archaeon. Its description in RNAcentral is "Candidatus Lokiarchaeota archaeon (microbial mat metagenome) tRNA-Pro". It matches the Rfam family "tRNA". Rfam says of the family: Transfer RNA (tRNA) molecules are approximately 80 nucleotides in length. The record is from RNAcentral. Lineage: Archaea; Promethearchaeati; Promethearchaeota.
GGGAGGGUGGUCUAGCUUGGUAUGAUACGCGGCUGGGGGCCGCGUGGUCGGGGGUUCGAAUCCCUCCUCUCCCA